Molecule: ribosomal RNA, 508 nt
Filed under: uncultured bacterium
Lineage: Bacteria
Description: bacterial SSU rRNA
Rfam family: Bacterial small subunit ribosomal RNA
Source: RNAcentral
AGCGAACGUUAGCGGCGGGCCUAACACAUGCAAGUCGAACGCGAAAGGUCUUCGGACUGAGUAGAGUGGCGCACGGGUGAGUAACACGUAGGUAAUCUACCCUUUGGCGGGGGAUAACGUUCCGAAAGGAGCGCUAAUACCGCAUAAGACCACGGAGUCUCCGGACGCUGUGGGAAAAGGUGGCCUCUUCUUGAAAGCUACCACCGAAGGAUGAGCCUGCGUCCCAUCAGCUAGUUGGUAAGGUAAUGGCUUACCAAGGCGAAGACGGGUAGCUGGUUUGAGAGAAUGAUCAGCCACACUGGCACUGGAACACGGGCCAGACUCCUACGGGAGGCAGCAGUGAGGAAUAUUGGGCAAUGGGCGAAAGCCUGACCCAGCCACGCCGCGUGAGUGAUGAAGGCCCUCGGGUCGUAAAGCUCUGUGGAGAGGGACGAAAACCCUGGUUUCAAAUAGGCUCCAGGCUUGACGAUACCUCUUUAGCAAGCACCGGCUAACUCUGUGCCAGCAG